This 547-nucleotide long non-coding RNA is filed under the name Homo sapiens (human). Its description in RNAcentral is "non-protein coding FOXD3-AS1:6". The record is from RNAcentral. Lineage: Eukaryota; Metazoa; Chordata; Mammalia; Primates; Hominidae.
AGGGAAUUGUCAACAAAGGGACGAGAGACGCGCAACUCCGCUCCGCACUGUGCGCCAGCAUCCCCGGGGCACGGAGGGCGCUGCGGCCCGCCCGGAGACCCCCCCACCCAGGCUGGAUCCGGGCCCUGGGGCCCAGGGAGCGGGUGUGGACAAAUCCUCCAAGAUUUAACUUCCAAGAAAACCGGCGGCGGAGCGGGUGGAGGAGGCGAGGAUGUGUGGCCAAUGCACGCGGAGUGCAAGGCCGCCUAGUUGGGAGCCGCAAGAGCCUGCCUGGUGUGGCAGGCACACGGAACCCAAUCCCUGUCUGUCCGCUGCGGCCUGGGAGGGGAGCGCCGGCCUCACCAGAGGAAGGAGCACGAGGGGAGGAGUUCCGAGAGGAAAUAAUUAGUGAAAUAUUUGCAGAAGAUGCUGGGAUGUGGAUUUAAUUCCGGAUGGACAGUGGUGCUUCUGAUUCCCUCAGUCUGUUUCCCCACCCACGAUCUCCUCUUUCCUUGGCCUAGACACACCAAAAAUAAUUCAAUAAAAUAAAAAUAAAAAUUUAAAAAUC